AGUGCUCUGAAAAUCUCAUUCUCUUUCAGACCCUGUUUGCUUUGAGGUGCAGACCUGGGAAGGCACGUGCCUCUUCUCCAUGCUGCUUUAUCAAGAAGCUUUUCCAUGGAAGAAGCACCUUCCUGAGACAGCAGUCAGGACAGCACCAGGCUUGGAAAAACCCGUUAGGACAAUUCUGACAAUGAGGCCAUUUUCCAAACUGACAUGAGGUUAACCGAGAACUUUAUUGUAAACAUUUUCAGUUGGUAUCCUACUAAAAACCACUUAGAAUAGGGGUGAGAUCACUUGCCUUCUUAUAAUACUGCUAAGAGAGAGGUUACAUUAAUAACCAAAUUGCACAUCGCAGUUGUCAGUGUGUAAUAGAGAUACCAAGGGGUUAACAUACCAUGUUUUGGGUAGUAAAGCAUAUUUUGGUAUGUAAGAAGCAAUAGUAGUGACUGGAUGGGGUCAUAUUCUGGAAAGAUUUACUCCUGCAAUUGUGGAAUGUUACUCCUGGUAAAAGGGCAUGGUUCCUGAAAGCCUCCAAGGGUCGGCAGUAGGUGGGUGGGUAGUGCACAGAUAAAGAAAGGGGUUAAGUAUGGAAGUGGCAAGAUGAGAGAAAGCAUGUGCAGGGGAGUAAAGGCUUGCUGGAUGCUUCCAUCUGUCUGAAAUGCCAGGCUGGGGCAGGGAGCUUGGCGUGGUCUUAGGCAGUCUGGGUCUAGGCACUGGCUGGGAAGCAGGAGAAAAUGUGAGGUGCAGUCAUUGAGGCGAGGCAAGGUGCGGGUCAUGGCUGCGGCAGGGCUCGUUUUUGGCUUCACACGUCUCUCUCCGGUCAGGAGAGAGAAGCUGCAACCUGCUCGAUGAAGCUGGCCAAGUUGAUGUCUCUCUCGGAUAAACCCGUGCACUCGUGGGUGCUCAAGGUGAUGUGAACCUUAUUAUACACGUUGAACCAUUCAGGGUGGUGAUCCAGUUUUUCUGCUUGCAGAGCCACUCUGGUCAUGAAGCCAAAGGCCCGGUUGAAGUCCUUGAAGUGGAACUCUUUGAAGAUGGCAUCUCUUCCUUCCACCUCGUUCCACCCCACGGCUCUCAGGUUUGGCAGCAGCUGCUCCCUCUCCUCUGCAUUCAACCUGUGGGCUUUACCUGCCAUGGCCCGCGGCUGUCCGUGGCCUCCGCGGCGGUGCCGGCCGGGCGCUGUGCGGG
RNAcentral lists this long non-coding RNA (1179 nucleotides) under Gallus gallus (chicken). The record is from RNAcentral. Lineage: Eukaryota; Metazoa; Chordata; Aves; Galliformes; Phasianidae.